AUACUUUGGUUUCUCUUCAGAUCAUAUAAAUCUUUUACCUUUCACUAAAAAUUUCCAUGGAAAGAAACAAGUCUGAGGUCUUUGACCAAUUUAUUGAGGACUUGAGCUCACAGAGCUU
Molecule: small nuclear RNA, 118 nt
Organism: Otolemur garnettii (small-eared galago)
Lineage: Eukaryota; Metazoa; Chordata; Mammalia; Primates; Galagidae
Gene: U5
Rfam family: U5 spliceosomal RNA
About the family: U5 RNA is a component of both types of known spliceosome. The precise function of this molecule is unknown, though it is known that the 5' loop is required for splice site selection and p220 binding, and that both the 3' stem-loop and the Sm site are important for Sm protein binding and cap methylation.
Source: Ensembl